This 429-nucleotide ribosomal RNA is filed under the name uncultured prokaryote. RNAcentral's name for it is "bacterial SSU rRNA". It matches the Rfam family "Bacterial small subunit ribosomal RNA", at positions 355 to 796 of the family's 1533-position model. The record is from RNAcentral.
UAGGGAAUCUUGCGCAAUGGGCGAAAGCCUGACGCAGCGACGCCGCGUGUGGGAAGAAGGCCUUCGGGUUGUAAACCACUUUCAGGAGGGAAGAAGCGAAAGUGACGGUACCUCCAGAAGAAGCCCCGGCCAACUACGUGCCAGCAGCCGCGGUAAUACGUAGGGGGCGAGCGUUGUCCGGAAUUAUUGGGCGUAAAGGGCUCGUAGGCGGUCUCUUCAGUCGGGUGUGAAAUCUCAGGGCUCAACCCUGAAAUCGCACCCGAUACUGGGAGACUUGAGGCAGGUAGGGGAGAUUGGAAUUCCUGGUGUAGCGGUGAAAUGCGCAGAUAUCAGGAGGAACACCGGUGGCGAAGGCGGAUCUCUGGGCCUGUUCUGACGCUGAGGAGCGAAAGCGUGGGGAGCAAACAGGAUUAGAUACCCCCGUAGUCC